Molecule: ribosomal RNA, 489 nt
Filed under: Paenibacillus sp. P32E
Lineage: Bacteria; Bacillati; Bacillota; Bacilli; Caryophanales; Paenibacillaceae
Description: bacterial SSU rRNA
Rfam family: Bacterial small subunit ribosomal RNA
Source: RNAcentral
UUUGGAGAGUUUGAUCCUGGCUCAGGACGAACGCUGGCGGCGUGCCUAAUACAUGCAAGUCGAGCGGAGCUUAUUCUUCGGGAUAAGCUUAGCGGCGGACGGGUGAGUAACACGUAGGCAACCUACCCUCUAGACUGGGAUAACUACCGGAAACGGUAGCUAAUACCGGAUAAUUCCUUCACCCUCAUGGGCGUGGGAUGAAAGGCGGAGCAAUCUGCUACUAAAGGAUGGGCCUGCGGCGCAUUAGCUAGUUGGUGGGGUAACGGCCUACCAAGGCGACGAUGCGUAGCCGACCUGAGAGGGUGAACGGCCACACUGGGACUGAGACACGGCCCAGACUCCUACGGGAGGCAGCAGUAGGGAAUCUUCCGCAAUGGGCGAAAGCCUGACGGAGCAACGCCGCGUGAGUGAUGAAGGUUUUCGGAUCGUAAAGCUCUGUUGCCAGGGAAGAACGUCCGGUAGAGUAACUGCUACCGGAGUGACGGUACC